UACGUAGGGUGCAAGCGUUGUCCGGAAUUAUUGGGCGUAAAGAGCUCGUAGGCGGCUUGUCGCGUCGGCUGUGAAAACCUGGGGCUCAACCCCGGGCCUGCAGCCGAUACGGGCAAGCUAGAAUUCGGUAGGGGAGACGUGGAAUUCCUGGUGGUAGCGGUGAAAUGCGCAGAUAUCAGGAGGAACACCAAUAGCGAAGGCAGCUCGCUGGGACGUUACUGACACUGAGGCGCGAAAGCGUGGGGAGCGAACAGG
This 255-nucleotide ribosomal RNA is filed under the name uncultured bacterium. Its description in RNAcentral is "partial 16S ribosomal RNA". It matches the Rfam family "Bacterial small subunit ribosomal RNA", at positions 524 to 776 of the family's 1533-position model. The record is from RNAcentral.